GAGACAGGUGCUGCAUGGCUGUCGUCAGCUCGCGUCGUGAGAUGUUGGGUUAAGUCCCGCAACGAGCGCAACCCUCAUUGUUAGUUACUACCAUUCAGUUGAGGACUCUAAUGAGACUGCCAACGACAAGUUGGAGGAAGGUGGGGAUGACGUCAAAUCAUCAUGCCCUUUAUGACCUGGGCUACAAACGUACUACAAUGGCCAAUACAAAGAGAUGCGAAGCGGUGACGUGGAGCGAACCUCAGAAAGUUGGUCUCAGUUCAGAUUGAAGUCUGCAACUCGACUUCAUGAAGGCGGAAUCGCUAGUAAUCGCGAGUCAGCAGAUCGCGGUGAAUACGUUCCCGGGUUUU
This 350-nucleotide ribosomal RNA is filed under the name uncultured Mollicutes bacterium. RNAcentral describes it as "bacterial SSU rRNA". It matches the Rfam family "Bacterial small subunit ribosomal RNA", at positions 1031 to 1382 of the family's 1533-position model. Lineage: Bacteria; Bacillati; Mycoplasmatota; Mollicutes. The record is from RNAcentral.